This 390-nucleotide unclassified non-coding RNA is filed under the name uncultured Pirellulaceae bacterium. RNAcentral's name for it is "contains 16S-23S intergenic spacer region". Lineage: Bacteria; Pseudomonadati; Planctomycetota; Planctomycetia; Pirellulales; Pirellulaceae. The record is from RNAcentral.
UCCGGUUUAUCACCGGCGGUCCCUGUCGAGUCCCCAUCAGCCUUUCGGCCAUGCUGGCAACAACAGGCAAGGGUUGCGCUCGUUGCGGGACUUAACCCGACAUCUCACGACACGAGCUGACGACAGCCAUGCAGCACCUGUGCAAGGGCUCCCCGAAGGGCACCCCCUUGUUUCCAAGGGGUUCCCAAGCAUGUCAAAUCUAGGAUAAGGUUCUUCGCGUAGCCUCGAAUUAAGCCACAUCCUCCACCGCUUGUGUGAGCCCCCGUCAAUUCCUUUGAGUUUCGGCCUUGCGACCAUACUCCCCAGGCGGAGCACUUAACGCUUUCGCUACGGCCGGGAGGAUGUGGAAGUCCCCCCAACCCAGUGCUCAUCGUUUACGGCUAGGACUAC